This 501-nucleotide ribosomal RNA is filed under the name uncultured bacterium. RNAcentral describes it as "partial 16S ribosomal RNA". It matches the Rfam family "Bacterial small subunit ribosomal RNA", at positions 30 to 523 of the family's 1533-position model. The record is from RNAcentral.
AUUGAACGCUGGCGGAAUGCUUUACACAUGCAAGUCGAACGGCAGCACGGACUUCGGUCUGGUGGCGAGUGGCGAACGGGUGAGUAAUGUAUCGGAACGUGCGCAGUCGUGGGGGAUAACGUAGUGAAAAUUACGCUAAUCCCGCAUACGAUCUAUGGAUGAAAGCGGGGGAUCGGAAGACAUCGCGCGAUUGCAGCGGCCGAUAUCAGAUUAGGUAGUUGGUGGGGUAAAGGCCCACCAAGCCAACGAUCUGUAGCUGGUCUGAUGAGGACGAACAGCCACACUGGAACUGAGACACGGUCCAGACUCCUACGGGAGGCAGCAGUGGGGAAUUUUGGACAAUGGGCGAAAGCCUGAUCCAGCCAUUCCGCGUGCAGGAUGAAGGCCCUCGGGUUGUAAACUGCUUUUGUACAGAACGAAAAGGUUUCUACUAAUACUAGGAGCUCAUGACGGUACUGUAAGAAUAAGCACCGGCUAACUACGUGCCAGCCGCCGCCGUAA